GAUGAACGCUGGCGGCGUGCUUAACACAUGCAAGUCGAACGAUGAAGCCCAGCUUGCUGGGUGGAUUAGUGGCGAACGGGUGAGUAACUACGUGAGUAACCUGCCCUUGACUCUGGGAUAAGCCCGGGAAACUGGGUCUAAUACCGGAUAGGAGCGCCUGUCGCAUGACGGGUGUUGGAAAGAUUUUUCGGUCAUGGAUGGACUCGCGGCCUAUCAGCUUGUUGGUGAGGUAAUGGCUCACCAAGGCGACGACGGGUAGCCGGCCUGAGAGGGUGACCGGCCACACUGGGACUGAGACACGGCCCAGACUCCUACGGGAGGCAGCAGUGGGGAAUAUUGCACAAUGGGCGGAAGCCUGAUGCAGCGACGCCGCGUGAGGGAUGACGGCCUUCGGGUUGUAAACCUCUUUCAGUAGGGAAGAAGCGAA
This 427-nucleotide ribosomal RNA is filed under the name Micrococcus sp. oral taxon F54. RNAcentral's name for it is "bacterial SSU rRNA". It matches the Rfam family "Bacterial small subunit ribosomal RNA", at positions 28 to 454 of the family's 1533-position model. Lineage: Bacteria; Bacillati; Actinomycetota; Actinomycetes; Micrococcales; Micrococcaceae. The record is from RNAcentral.